Molecule: ribosomal RNA, 450 nt
Filed under: uncultured bacterium
Lineage: Bacteria
Description: partial 16S ribosomal RNA
Rfam family: Bacterial small subunit ribosomal RNA
Source: RNAcentral
GUGGGGAAUCUUCCGCAAUGGACGAAAGUCUGACGGAGCAACGCCGCGUGAGUGAUGAAGGUCUUCGGAUUGUAAAGCUCUGUUAAUCGGGACGAAAGAGCCUAGUGUGAAUAAUGCUAGGAAGUGACGGUACCGGAAUAGAAAGCCACGGCUAACUACGUGCCAGCAGCCGCGGUAAUACGUAGGUGGCAAGCGUUGUCCGGAAUUAUUGGGCGUAAAGCGCGCGCAGGCGGAUCUGCCAGUCUGUCUUAAAAGUUCGGGGCUUAACCCCGUGAUGGGAUGGAAACUACAGAUCUAGAGUAUCGGAGAGGAAAGUGGAAUUCCUAGUGUAGCGGUGAAAUGCGUAGAUAUUAGGAAGAACACCAGUGGCGAAGGCGACUUUCUGGACGAUGUCUGACGCUGAGGCGCGAAAGCUAGGGGAGCGAACGGGAUUAGAAACCCGAGUAGUCC